Molecule: ribosomal RNA, 468 nt
Filed under: uncultured bacterium
Lineage: Bacteria
Description: partial 16S ribosomal RNA
Rfam family: Bacterial small subunit ribosomal RNA
Source: RNAcentral
GACGAACGCUGGCGGCGUGCUUAACACAUGCAAGUCGAACGGAAAGGCCCUGCUUUUGUGGGGUGCUCGAGUGGCGAACGGGUGAGUAACACGUGAGUAACCUGCCCUUGACUUUGGGAUAACUUCAGGAAACUGGGGCUAAUACCGGAUAGGAGCUCCUGCUGCAUGGUGGGGGUUGGAAAGUUUCGGCGGUUGGGGAUGGACUCGCGGCUUAUCAGCUUGUUGGUGGGGUAGUGGCUUACCAAGGCUUUGACGGGUAGCCGGCCUGAGAGGGUGACCGGCCACAUUGGGACUGAGAUACGGCCCAGACUCCUACGGGAGGCAGCAGUGGGGAAUAUGGCACAAUGGGCGGAAGCCUGAUGCAGCAGCGCCGCGUGCGGGAUGACGGCCUUCGGGUUGUAAACCGCUUUCGCCUGAGACGAAGCGUGAGUGACGGUAAUGGGUAAAGAAGCACCGGCUAACUACGUG